Molecule: ribosomal RNA, 253 nt
Filed under: uncultured bacterium
Lineage: Bacteria
Description: partial 16S ribosomal RNA
Rfam family: Bacterial small subunit ribosomal RNA
Source: RNAcentral
UACGUAGGGUGCAAGCGUUGUCCGGAAUUAUUGGGCGUAAAGAGCUCGUAGGCGGUCUGUCGCGUCGGCUGUGAAAACUCGGGGCUCAACCCCGAGCCUGCAGUCGAUACGGGCAGACUAGAGUGCGGUAGGGGAGAUUGGAAUUCCUGGUGUAGCGGUGGAAUGCGCAGAUAUCAGGAGGAACACCAAUGGCGAAGGCAGAUCUCUGGGCCGUAACUGACGCUGAGGAGCGAAAGCAUGGGGAGCGAACAGG